GCUCAGGACGAACGCUGGCGGCGUGCUUAACACAUGCAAGUCGAACGAUGAUGCCCAGCUUGCUGGGUGGAUUAGUGGCGAACGGGUGAGUAACACGUGAGUAACCUGCCCCUGACUCUGGGAUAAGCGUUGGAAACGACGUCUAAUACUGGAUAUGAUCACUGGCCGCAUGGUCUGGUGGUGGAAAGAUUUUUUGGUUGGGGAUGGACUCGCGGCCUAUCAGCUUGUUGGUGAGGUAAUGGCUCACCAAGGCGACGACGGGUAGCCGGCCUGAGAGGGUGACCGGCCACACUGGGACUGAGACACGGCCCAGACUCCUACGGGAGGCAGCAGUGGGGAAUAUUGCACAAUGGGCGAAAGCCUGAUGCAGCAACGCCGCGUGAGGGAUGACGGCCUUCGGGUUGUAAACCUCUUUUAGUAGGGAAGAAGCGAAAGUGACGGUACCUGCAGAAAAAGCACCGGCUAACUACGUGCCAGCAGCCGCGGUAAUACGUAGGGUGCAAGCGUUGUCCGGAAUUAUUGGGCGUAAAGAGCUCGUAGGCGGUUUGUCGCGUCUGCUGUGAAAUCCCGAGGCUCAACCUCGGGCUUGCAGUGGGUACGGGCAGACUAGAGUGCGGUAGGGGAGAUUGGAAUUCCUGGUGUAGCGGUGGAAUGCGCAGAUAUCAGGAGGAACACCGAUGGCGAAGGCAGAUCUCUGGGCCGUAACUGACGCUGAGGAGCGAAAGCAUGGGGAGCGAACAGGAUUAGAUACCCUGGUAGUCCAUGCCGUAAACGUUGGGCGCUAGAUGUAGGGACCUUUCCACGGUUUCUGUGUCGUAGCUAACGCAUUAAG
This 832-nucleotide ribosomal RNA is filed under the name Curtobacterium sp. MOLA 1589. RNAcentral's name for it is "bacterial SSU rRNA". It matches the Rfam family "Bacterial small subunit ribosomal RNA", at positions 22 to 864 of the family's 1533-position model. Lineage: Bacteria; Bacillati; Actinomycetota; Actinomycetes; Micrococcales; Microbacteriaceae. The record is from RNAcentral.